Molecule: long non-coding RNA, 310 nt
Organism: Alligator sinensis (Chinese alligator)
Lineage: Eukaryota; Metazoa; Chordata; Crocodylia; Alligatoridae
Exons: 2
Source: RefSeq, a predicted model, not a curated record
AAAAAAAAGGAGCACAGCAGCUGAUAGGAAGCAGAAGCACAGAGUCAUGGAAAAGCAUUCACACUGCUUCUACUAAACAUCCACCUAAAGGUUGGGAUAUCUUUAUUAAAGCCAUGGCCGAGCUGAACAUAUCAUCUUCUCUUAUGGGCAAUGCCGCAAAUUGGGAUCAUCUGGAAUACCCGAAAACCUCUGCAGCAACCCAAGAAACACUAACCUCACUGCCAAAGAAGCAAAAGAUUGUCUCUAAAAGCAAGUGGAUCAGCAUGUAAAGUUUUACAUUUGUAAUAGACUAUUCUAUACUGCUUCAAAA